UAACGUCUCAUAAUAAUAAAAUGGAUUAAAGACAAUAUUUUAUUUCAAAUAAUCAAAAGUCUUUACAAAUUGCCAUCUUCUUUAUGAAUGUGAGAUUAAUUUGACAAACUUUCAUUUAUUUUGUUCCCUUUCACAGCAAAAUUUUUCAUCUACAUCAAUUUUGUAUCAGACCAAAGACAAAGAUCAAGGAUCAAAAGGCCAUGCCAAUGUGAGUAUCCGAUAUUUUCAAAAUUUUUGCUCAUUUUCACAUUUUAUUUAUUCAAAUCACUUUCUUUUGUCAAUAUCAUUGAGAAUUAAAACAUCAUAAAUGCCAAGCUGACUGUUAAAAAUAUGAAAAUAGGAGCUAUUAAGAAACAGAAGAGGAUGGAAAGUGAACCCACCAGCCAGUACAUAGGGUUAACAUUAUCAUAAUACAAUGAUAUAGUGAUUAUUUUGCUAGUUAUGAUCAUCUUGGUACAAGGUAAUUAUGAAUCCACAAGGAAGGAAAGGAUUUGUUCCGUUACUCUGGAUGACCUGCACUCAUCAACCGUACCAGCCAAAAGUAUCAUAAAUAUAAAAAACAAAAUAUAUAUCAAAAGAAUGACUCAAAAUCCUAUGAGAUUCAUUUCAUCUCCACUCUCUGUCUCUUCCCUUGGCACAUUCACCAUACAAAACAACUAAGAUGAAAGCUCGUUGAAAGAUAUCAAGUUGGAAUCCCAUUUUCACUGAUCAUCCAAGUGGAGCAGAUCAUCACCAUCAUCCUAUCAUCUCUCUUCCUCUUAACAAAGUCACCAAAAAACGAUAGUCAUAAUCCAGAUAGAUAUUUCAUAACUAUCAUCAUGACGUUAGGAACAUCUUUUAUUCUUGCUUUCUCUGGAGGGAAUUAAACCUUAAUAUCAUCCAGUAAUGUUAAAUGACUUUAAAACGGACAUUUUCAAUUAACUGGAGGCUUUCUCUUCACCACCUAACCGUAUCAUAAAAUCAUUACUGUUAACUCAAACUUGAUAAUCAUCUGGAGCAGCAAAAUCAACAGCAUCCCUCACCAUUAUCUUCAUCCUCCAUCUCAUAAUCAAAAUACAUAAAAGCAGCAAAAUUUCAUCAAUCUAAUGAUUAUUGGCUUCUAACCUUUUCUAUCUACUUAUUCCCAUUAGUACAUCUUUUCAUCAUUAACCACCUCAUAAUGACUAUGAUCACAUUGAUGAGAUAAUAAGCUGAUGAUUCUUUAAAAUCCCCUGAAUCUAGUUCAAUAUUCAAUUUAAAUUUUCUCUCUUUCGUCUCCGUACUUCAAUCAUUACCCAUCAACCAGGAUUCACCUGGAAAAGACGAUAAUCUGUUUGAAUCAAUGGAAUCACAACACUUUUGACUAACAUUGAAACCCAUUUCACAAUUGUAAUAACUUUUAAUUAUUAUUUUUCCUGUUUUAUCCUUUGCAACAUUUUAAUUGGUAACAAUUAAUUGUGUGUUCAACUUAAAUAUGACAAUAGUUAAUUGGUUGCAGGGUAAAGUUAAUUAACAUUAUCAUUAAUUUGAA
Molecule: non-coding RNA, 1510 nt
Organism: Tetranychus urticae (two-spotted spider mite)
Lineage: Eukaryota; Metazoa; Arthropoda; Arachnida; Trombidiformes; Tetranychidae
Source: RefSeq, a predicted model, not a curated record